UAGUCCUGACCGGCAAC
This 17-nucleotide small RNA is filed under the name Bombyx mori (domestic silkworm). Its description in RNAcentral is "ovarian small RNA-6462". The record is from RNAcentral. Lineage: Eukaryota; Metazoa; Arthropoda; Insecta; Lepidoptera; Bombycidae.